This 1987-nucleotide long non-coding RNA is filed under the name Monodelphis domestica (gray short-tailed opossum). RNAcentral's name for it is "lncRNA (ENSMODG00000044010.1)". Lineage: Eukaryota; Metazoa; Chordata; Mammalia; Didelphimorphia; Didelphidae. The record is from RNAcentral.
CCCAGGUCUCCUUAAUCUGAGUGCUUUCAGUGCCUAUGAGACCAGCAGAAAUUUAACUUGUAUAGAUUGUACCUUUUCUCUCCAUAGUGGCUUGCAUGUUGCCUCUCCUAUCAGCCUGUGGUUUCCAAGAGAGGCGGGGUUUCUUUUCUUUUUCCUUCUUCCUUCUUUCCCUACUUCUUUCCCUCCCUCCUUCCUUCCUUCCUUCUUUCCCUCCCUCCCUCCCUCCCUCCCUCCUUCCUUCCUUCCCUCCCUUCCUCUUUCUUUCUUUCUUUCUUUCUUUCUUUCUUUCUUUCUUUCUUUCUUUCUUUCUUUCUUUCUUUCUUUCUUUCUUUCUUUCUUUCUUUCUUUCUCUCUCUCCUUUCUUUCUUUCUUUCUUUCUUUCUUUCUUUCUUUCUUUCUUUCUUUCUUUCUUUCUUUCUUUCUUUCUUUCUUUCUUUCUUUCUUUCUUUCUUUCUUUCUUUCUUUCUUUCUUUCUUUCUUUCUUUCUUUCUUUCUUUCUUUCUUUCUUUUUCUUUCUUGUUUCUUUGUUUGUUUCUUUGUUUCUUUGUUUCUUUCUCUCCCUCCUUCCUUUCCUUCCUUCCUUUCUUUCCUUCCUUCCUCCCUCCCUCCCUUCCUCCCUUCCUUCCUUCCUUCCUUCCUUCCUUCCUUCCUUCCUUCCUUCCUUCCUUCCUUCCUUCCUUCCUUCCUUCCUUCCUUCCUUCCUUCCUUCCUUCCUUCCUUCCUUCCUUCCUUCCUUCUUUCCUCCCUCCCUUCCUCCCUUCCUCCCUUCCCAGUGACUAUGUUGAGAGUAUAAAAUGAGACAAUACUUGUACAUCACUUAUUCUCAUGUCUGGAGCACAGUGAGUACCAGAGAGAUGAUGAUGAUGAUGAUGAUGAUGAUGAUGAUGAUGAUGAUAUCUCCUAACUUGCCUUCAAUUCUCUUUCCCUGAUACCAUGUUGCCUGAGGCCACACAGGUAGUUAGUAGGACAGUGGAAAGAGGUUCCCCCACAUUGAGUAGGAAAGUCUCUGGUCUUGAACUGCUUGGGGGGUGGGGGAGGGAAAGGUAUAGAAUUGUGAGUAUUGAUUCAGAGCCAGAAGGAAAAGCAGAGACUGUCAAAUCCAAUCCUCUUAUUUUAUAGAUGAUGAAACUCAGAUUCAGAGGUUGCAAUGAAGGGUCACACAGCUAGUAAGUAGCUGAGGAAGGAUUGAGGGGCUGGGGUCUUCCUGAAUUCAAGCCCAGUCCUCUCUUCUUAGUCUCCUGGAUGUUAUUAGAGGCUCUCCUGAUUAGAAGUACUAAGCUCUAAUUAGGCCUCCAUUAACUUAGCGUCUGAAGGCCACAUCUAGGAUAGCUUUCUCCCUCCUAGAGAUUAUUGAAGGAUUGUGGUUUAGUUGUUUUCAGUCACGUCUGAUACUUCAUCAUCUCAUUUGGGGUUUUCUUGGCAAAUAUUGGAGUGGUUUGCCAUUUCCUUCUCCAGCUCAUUUUUACUGAUGAGAAACUGAGGCAAACUGAGUGAUUUGCGUAGGGUCCCGUAUCUUGUAAGUGUCUAAGGUCAAAUUUGAACUCAGAUCUUCAUAACUCCAGAACCAGUGCUCUAUCUGCUGUGAUACCUAGCUGUCCAUUUGUGUAGUACUUAAGAUCGUAGACUGAAGACCAGAGAGCCUUCGAAGGACAACCUUCUCAUUGUACAGAUGAGGAAGCUGGGGCCCAGAUGGGAGAAGGAAUAUCCACAAGGCCUUUAUUUCCUAAUCCAUCACUAUUUCCAGUGUAAUUGCUGCUGAGGAUUAUGGGAAUAUCACUUCCACUAGAGGGACCAGUGCCUGGUGCCCCAUCAGUGAGAAGUCUUCCUUAAAGGAAUAUUCCUUGGGGGUCUGGGGAAUCAUCCCCCUCCCCCCCCCCAUUUUGUACUAGCCAUAGCUUGCAUUCACAUUUCCCAACCAGCUAUUUCGUGGAAGGUCUUUUCCCCACUGGGUGCAUUUAAAAAUAAAUUUGGUUCCCCCCCAAUUACA